UCACACCACUGCCAAGGGGAUGAGAAAAUGGAUGUGCUUCAGAAUCUCCAAGAAGAAACUAGUGAGAAAGUGUGUGAAUUACUUAAAGACAAGCUGGUAGAAUUCAAUAGCUUCCUUCAUCUCCCAGGAGAGCACCCUCCUAAGAAAACACGUUUGUCUGUCAGAUCCCUAAUAAGUACCAUCUGGAAAGAGGGGAGCUGGGAAAUCUGGAGGACGGUGGCAUUUCUGAACUUCUGCAGGUUAGAGACAAGUUAAACAAGUUAGUGGUUGCUACAACUGCGGUGGUUGGUGAAGUGAAGGGAAAACAGGGAAGACCAGUUGUCACCAUCUUGUUCGCACCCUAAAUAGAGGCUAUCCAGAGGAGGAGAUAAUUGCUGCACUGAUCAGAGCGAUUAUACCGGGGACCCAGUUGCACGGUUAUUUUGAGCAUAACUCAGACGUGAACUAACCUACCCUUAGAGAGAUCCUUCACUCACAUUAUCAGGAAAAAGGGGCAACUGAACUGUAUAGGCAGCUGGCAGCAGAAGCCCAAUGCAGUACAGAGACAAAAAUUCUUAAUACGUGUUCUUGACUUGAAGGAGCGCCUAGUCUGAAAUAUGAUCCAGACUUAGUGCAGAGCAUGUUUUUACAUGCUGUACUCAGCAGUUUACAAAGUGAUUCUAUUCAAAAUAGUUUCCAAAACUUCAGAUGAGGUACUGUGCAAAUGAAGCGGAGAAAACAAACGUAAGCUAUUUGGGUCAGCCGGCACUCCCACUGUCAACCCUGAAUAGUUAGAGGAACAUCCUGCUGAGCAUAAAUGUCAGAUGGAAAAGACUCAUACAGACCUAGUGUCACAGUUGAAACCUCUUAGUGAAGACAUUUCACAAUCUAACUCGCUUUACACCUGGACAAAAAUGUCUCAAAGAUGGAAGAUGUAUUGAUUAUAGGGACCUGAAUAAGAAAACCAUUCUUGACUGCCAGCCCAUUCCAUGAGUGCAAGACGUUAUAGACAGCUUACUGGGUAUUGCUUGGUUCUUGUUACUUGAUCAGGGGAAAGCAUACCAGCAAGGAUUCAUGUUGAAAGAAAGCAGGCCACUAAUAGCCUUCAUAACUCCCUGGGGUUAUUCAAAUCCCCUUUGGAUUCAUGAAUGCGCCUGCAGCUUUCCAACGUUUCAUGGUGGAGUGUCUUGAAGGACUAAGAGACAAAGUCUGUUUACCAUACCUGGAUGGCACACUAACGUUCACUAAGACCUUCGACGAGCAUGUUGAUGCGGUGAGAAGAGUGAUACAGCGAAUGCGGGCACUUGGAGUGAACCUUAAACCCAGCAAGUGUGAGUUCUAGGCUGACAUUCACUACCUGGGGAGAAUUGCGUCAGCAGAGGGAAAUGAGUUGGAUCGUGCAGACACUGUGGCAGUAAAAGAGUAGUCAGACAAUAGUGGGAGAAUGGAGAAAGUUUCUGGGUCUAUUAAGCUAUGAUCAGCAGUACGUUAAGGAUUUCCCUAGAAUUGUGAACUCCUCCCCCCCCAAUACGUAGUUCAGUCUAGUUUUCGUACUGUGUCACGUAACACCAUGGUCCUGAAAAACGUUGUCUCAUUUUUACUGUGUACUGUACCAGCAGUUAUGGUUGAAAUGACAAUAAAAGUAACUUGCGAUGACAGCGACCAAGAUCAGCUCAGUAGGGGUAGCCUUAGAAAGACGAAAAAAGAAGAGGAACUGUGUACUCUCUUGCAAACCGAUCAGUUGGACACAGACGCAUCAAAAAACUUUGGGGAAGCUGAAUGAUUGCCUGGUACAGCCACCCGUGCUGGGAUCCCUAGUCUUUGAACAACAUUAAUUCUCUACAUUGAGGCCUUCAGUGAAGGGUUGGGAGCAGUUCUGUAUCAAAAGCAAGAUGGCAAACUGAGAACAAUAGCCUAUGGAUGACGAACAUUGACAAAUGCAGAAAAAAAAACUACCAUCUACACAGCAGGAGAUUGGAAUUCCUUGCUUUGAAGUGGGCAAUUACUGAAAAAUUUAGGGAUUACCUGUACUAUGCCCUGGCACUCACAGUUUACAGUGACAACAAUCUCCUUAAGAAUGUUCUGUCUAUAGCAAACCGAAAUGCAACUGGAUAUAGAUAGAUUGCAGAACCAGCUGAAUUCUCCUUCAAUAUGUGUUAUUGCUCGGGAAAAGAAAACGUUGAUGCUGACUGUCCCGAAUGCCAAUAGCCAUGGAAACGCUUAUGAGUGAGUGCACAGAUGUCUCAUCCGAUUCAGUGAGGGCCACAGUCCAGGCCAUUAAAGUGCAGCAAAGUGCAGAAAUACCCUGGUUCAUGACAGUAGCUGUGUCAUACUGGGGACAGGAGGCUGGACCCAAGUGCAGGACACAGGCACUGAAGUACUAGGGGCAGGACGGGAACAACUAAACGAGAGGCAAGACGUGGAGACCGUGGUGUGUGUGAGGGACGUAAUGUUCAAGGUGAUGCUGGGGUUCCAAGAGAGUCUUAAAGUUCAGGCAGGCAGGAGGAUCCCAGAGUUCAGGCAAGGCAGGCCACAUAACUUCUGGGCAGGUCACGGGACACCUGGGUAGGUAGCAGGGCACAACCCAUCAACAUCGAGAGAUAGGUAAGGGCAGAGACCUCUGGGCAGGCCUCAUAACUCCUAGGCAGGGCCCAGACCUCCCAAGCAGGAACACAGGCCUGAACAGGUCACGGGGCACCUGGGCAAGUUACAGGGCACAACCCAUCAGCAGUGAGGGAUAGUUAGGGGCAGAGACCUCUGGGCAGGCCUCAUAACUCCUAGGCAGGGCCCAGACCUCUCAGGCAGGGACACAAGGGCCUGAACAGGUCACAGGGCACCUGGGUAGGUUGCAGGGCACAACCCAUCAGCAACAAGGGAUGGAAAGGGGCAGAGUCCUCCACCAGGCAACAGCAGUUCAGCCAGGCUUGCCCAGUGGAGGCAAGGGAUAGGAAGGGAACUAGGUCCAGGGUGACUGCCAGACUUACUUGAACAACUCAUCUUUAACAUAGAGAACUCCAAGCCAGAGUGACCAGAGGAACAGGAUAGGCAGGACAACCCCCAACUCCACUCAGUCCCAGAGCCCCUAUAUACACCACCAACCAAUGGGCAUCAGGGGCACCUCCUCGAGCCCCAACAAGCCACGAUGAUCCACAGGUGUGACUAAUUGGGCUCAAGGGUGAAAGGAGGGACGGCUACAAGACCCGGAGUUCGGAGUCCGCGGACCGGAUCAAGACCUGGAAUGCAGAUCCCGGACCGGACCAUAACAAUCUGUACCGUCAGACGCAGUAAGUGUCGACUUGGUGAACACGUUAAUUUCACCACAGUCCAGGAGGAAGAUCCAGCAAGCACAGGAAGUGGAUGGUGACAUCAAAAUGGUAAUUGACUUUGUACACUCAGGUUCGAAACCUACUUUUUAAUAAGUACAGACAUUACGUAAAUGAGCCAGGUGCUUUUUGUAAGAGUAGGAUAAAUUAGUAUUGGAUGAGGAUGGCAUCCUUCAUUAGAAAUCUACCAAUGAACACGACUGAUGCUACAGUGUCAUGCAAAGGUUUGGGCACCCCGGUCAAAAUUUCUGUUACUGUGAAUAGUAAGUGAGUAGAAGAUGAACCGAUCUCCAAAAGUCAUAAAGUUACAGAUGAAACAUUAUUUUGAACAUCUUAAGCAAGAUUAGUGUAUUAUUUUUGUUUUGUAUAAUUUUAGAGUGAAAGAAAGGAAAAGAGCACCAUGCAAAAGUUUGGGCACCCCAAGAGAUCUGAGCUCUCAGAUAACUUUCACCAAGGUCUCAGACCUUAAUUAGCUUGUUAGGGCUAUGGCUUGUUCACAGUCAUCGUUAGGAAAGGCCUGGUGAUGCAAAUUUCAAAGCUUUAUAAAUACCCUGACUCCUCAAACCUUAUCCCAACAUUCAGCUGCCAUGUUCUCCUCUAAGCAGCUGCCUAGUACUCUAAAAAUUAAAAUAAAUUAUCCCCACAAAGCAGAAGAAGGCUAUAAGGAGAUAGCAAAGUGUUUUCGUGUAGCUGUUUCCUCAGUUCAUAAUGUAAUUAAGAAAUGGCAGUUAACAGGAACGGUGGAGGUCAAGUUGAGAUCUGGAAGACCAAGAAAACUUUCCAAGAGAACUGCUCUUAGGAUUGCUCGAAAGGCAAAUCAAACCCCUGUUUGACUGCAAAAGACCUUCAGGAAGAUUUAGCAGACUCUGGAGUGGUGGUGCACUGUUCUACAGUGUUCUACAGCGACACCUGCACAAAUAUGACCUUCAUAGAAGAGUCAUCAAAAGAAAACCUUUCUUGCGUCCUCACCACAAAAUUCAACAUCAGAAGUUUGCAAAGGAACAUCUAAACAAGACUGAUGCAUUUUGGAAACUAGUCCUGUGGACUGAUGAAGUUAAAAUAGAACUUUUUGGCCGCAAUGAGCAAAGGUGUGUUUGGAGAAAAAAGGGUGCAGAAUUUCAUGAAAAGAACAUCUCUCCAACUGUUAAGCACGGGGGUGGAUCGAUCAUGCUUUGGGCUUGCGUUGCAGCCAGUGGCACGGGGAACAUUCCGCUAGUAGAGGGAAGAAUGAAUUCAAUUAAAUACCAGCAAAUUCUGGAAGCAAAUGUUACAUUGACUGUUUUAAAAAAAAAGCUGAAGAUGAAAAGAGGAUGGCUUCUACAAUAGGAUAAUGAUCCUGAUCCUAAACACACCUCAAAAUCCACAAUGGACUACCUCAAGAGGCACAAUCUGAAGGUUUUGCCAUGGCCCUCUGUCUCCUGACCUAAACAUCAUCAAAAAUCUCUGGAUAGACCUCAAAAGAGCAGUGCAUGCAAGAUGGCCCAAGAAUCUCACAUAACUAGAAGCCUUUUGCAAGGAAGAAUGGGUGAAAAUCCCCCAAACAAGAAUUGAAAGACUCUUAGCUGGCUACAGAAAGCGUUUACAAGCUGUGAUACUUGCCAAAGGGGGUGUGACCAUGCAGGGUGCCCAAACUUUUGCUUUGGGUCCUUUUCCUUUUUUGUUAUUUUGAAACUGUAAUAGAUGGAAAUAAAAAAGUAAUCUUGCUGAAAAUAUUAAAGAAAUGUGUCAUUUUAAACUUUAUGCCUUUUGGAAACCAGGUCAUAUUUUACUCGCUUAGCUAUUCACAGUAACAUAAAUGUUGACCGGGGUGCCCCAAAUUUAGCAUGCCACUGUAUCUGUGAGGUUCAAGUAUACGGUCCUGAAAGAGCUACAUGAUAAAAUGGGGCAUCGAGGUGUUGAUCAUACAGUGGCUCUGGUAAGAGAGAUUUUUCUGGCCUCACGCGCAAAGGGACAUUGAGCACCACGUGCUAAGAGCCUGUACCUGUCUCAAGCGAAAGAAGCCGUGUGGGGAAACAAGGGCACCAUUGAAGAGUAUCAUGACAAUGCAGCCAUUGAACCUGUGUCCGUUAACUUUCUUCACCUGGACAAGUGCAUGGGUAGAUAUGAGUACAUUCUGGUGAUUAUUCACCAUUUUACAUGAUUGCACAGGUAUGGAACAUGCCCUCAAAGUCAGGAAAAACUGUCACUGACUGCAUCAUGUCAAAAGCGCCGAAUCUGAGAACCAGCUCUUCACCCAACUGAGAAAACAGAGCAGCGUGGCAGGAUCAAGAACUACACCGUCCACCCCCCCAGGGAAACGGACGAGAACUACACCGUCCACCCCCUCCAGGGAAACGGACGAGAACUACACCGUCCACACCCCCCCCCAGGGAAACGGACAAGAACUACACCGUCCACACCCCACCCCCCGGGGAAACGGACGAGAACUACACCAUCCACCCCCGGGGAAAUGAACGAGAACUACACCGUCCACACCCCCCCCAAGGAAACGGAUGAGGACUACACCAUCCACCCCCCCCAGCUCCAUCACAUCAGUGGGUUUAAAUCCUGGUACUCCCUCCCCAUGGGAACGUUUUCUACGUGCAAGCUAUUAUGGUCCAAGAUGCUGGCUCACCACGCCAUUUUUUAGGAGCAAUUAGGGAUGUGCGAUGCCUGGAAAAAUGAAUAAAAAGAAUCAUCACAGAAAUUGCAGAUUCUGAAAUCUGGACCAACACUCUACUGGAGAAAGUCAGCAGGUCGAGCGACAUCUACCAUCAGGGAGCAGAUACAGGAGCCUGCAGGCUCGCGCUCAACAUCACCUUCCCCACCGCCAUUAGCUUUAUGGAAGUUCCAUGAGCCCAUGAACACUACCAUGUUAUUCUUUCUUUUCCUUAUUUAUUUUUUGUAACUUAUAGAAAUUUCCAUGUCUUGCUGUCGCAGAACUAGAAUGUUCACAACAGACUGUCUGCCAGUGACGAGAAACCCACCUCUGAUGGGGGAAGAAUGUGGGGAACAAGCAAAUCUGCUGGAGGAACUCGGUGUCGGUGGGGAUGGGGGGAGGAACUGUUGAUGUUUCAGGUCAAAACCCUGCAUCAGCACUGAGAGUGCAGAGAGGAGAUGGCCAGUGUAAUGAGAAGAGGGACAAUGGUGGAUUAAGGAGGGUACUGCUUAUCACCCUCCAGUGGGGAUAGGGGUUCAACCUCUCCUCCUAUAAAUUAAGUCUCUCCUAUAAAUGGACAGAGACAUUUAUCAAGCAUCUGUCUCUGUCUCCCUACUCCACCACCUUCCCCCUUCACCCUCCAGUGGGGAUAGGGGUUCAACCUCUCCUCCUAUAAAUUAAGUCUCGCCUAUAAAUGGACAGAGACAUUUAUCAAGCAUCUGUCUCUGUCUCCCUACUCCACCACCUUCCCCCUUCUCUGUCUGGCUCGACCUGCCCAUCAGCCUUCACCCACCACCUCAGUUCAUCGAUUACCUCUGUGUCACCACUUCCCUCCUUCCCCCCUCUUCUUCCCUCUGUCCACUAAGCUCUGAUACAGGGUUUCCACCCAAGAUGCUGCUCUAACCAUUGAUUUCUUUGAGCAGAUUGUUUGUUAAAAUAACCACAGCUGGGAUGAAAGAUACCCAUUAUCUACACUGAUUGACUGAGAAUAGUUGUCAUAAGAAUCUGGAAUUAAUUCCAUGGAAAGAUCUAAGAUUCCUAACACAUUUCGCAUGGGAAGAACCAUACUGAGAACCUGACCCCUUUACUAGUCUCUGAGUAUACUUUGCUUCCAUGAAUUACCUUGCUGAAUUAAAGUAAAAUCACAGGAAACAUAUUUUGUGAGAUAGCUGGUAAUGUGGUGGGUUGUGAAACGCUAUCACAGUGCCAGUGAUCUGGGUUCAGUUCCUGCCACUGUCUAUAAGGAGUCUGUACGUUUUCCCCGAGACUGCGUGGGUUUCCUCCAACAUUCUAAAGAGCGAGGAGGUCAGUGUGGGCCCAUUGGACUGGAAGGGCCUGUUACUCUGCUACAUCACUAAAUAAAUAAGUAGCAUUUCUUAAAUAAAUCAAUUCGGUUAGGAAAUCCAAAGUGGAUUCAUUGUUAGACCUAGUGCUUCUCUCCAAGGAAUAAAACAUGCACAUAUCAUCAUUUAUUAAAAAGGAACUAUUUUAGGCAAACCAACAUUUAAAUAUUUAUGGCUUCUUAGAAGCACUUUGAGUGGUGUUUUUGGCUUCCUAUAUAGCUUGACUGAAGUAAUACUCUUGUGGGGAGGGGGUGUGGUUGGAGGGUGAAUGAGCCUGUUCACACGUUCAGCAGGUGAGUAAAAUAAAUGUGUGUGAUCUUUGAAGGUUUAUGGAAGGUGAGUGACUUAAUUUUACUUCAGCGCUACCCUCAGAGAGAGAGAGAGAGAGAGAGAGAGAGAGAGAGAGAGAGAGAG
Molecule: long non-coding RNA, 7697 nt
Organism: Hypanus sabinus (Atlantic stingray)
Lineage: Eukaryota; Metazoa; Chordata; Chondrichthyes; Myliobatiformes; Dasyatidae
Exons: 2
Source: RefSeq, a predicted model, not a curated record